AUACGUAGGUGGCAAGCGUUGUCCGGAAUUAUUGGGCGUAAAGCGCGCGCAGGUGGUUCCUUAAGUCUGAUGUGAAAGCCCCCGGCUCAACCGGGGAGGGUCAUUGGAAACUGGGGAACUUGAGUGCAGAAGAGGAUAGUGGAAUUCCAAGUGUAGCGGUGAAAUGCGUAGGGAUUUGGAGGAACACCAGUGGCGAAGGCGACGUGAUGGUCGGUAACAGACACUGAGGGGCGAACGCGUGGGGGGCAAACAGAAAUAAGUACCCUGGUAGGCCACGCCGUAAACGAUGAGUGCUAAGUGUUGGGGGGUUUCCGCCCCGCUGUGCUUCAGCUAACGCAUUAAGCAAUCCGCCUGGGGAGUACGGUCGCAAGACUGAAACUCAAAUGAAUUUACGGGG
Molecule: ribosomal RNA, 397 nt
Filed under: uncultured bacterium
Lineage: Bacteria
Description: partial 16S ribosomal RNA
Rfam family: Bacterial small subunit ribosomal RNA
Source: RNAcentral